This 493-nucleotide ribosomal RNA is filed under the name uncultured bacterium. RNAcentral's name for it is "partial 16S ribosomal RNA". It matches the Rfam family "Bacterial small subunit ribosomal RNA", at positions 30 to 523 of the family's 1533-position model. The record is from RNAcentral.
AUUGAACGCUGGCGGCAUGCUUUACACAUGCAAGUCGAACGGUAACAGGUUAAGCUGACGAGUGGCGAACGGGUGAGUAAUGCAUCGGAACGUGCCCGGUCGUGGGGGAUAACGCAGCGAAAGCUGCGCUAAUACCGCAUACGAUCUGAGGAUGAAAGCGGGGGACCGUAAGGCCUCGCGCGAUCGGAGCGGCCGAUGUCAGAUUAGGUAGUUGGUGGGGUAAAGGCUCACCAAGCCAACGAUCUGUAGCUGGUCUGAGAGGCCGACCAGCCACACUGGGACUGAGACCCGGCCCAGACUCCUACGGGAGGCAGCAGUGGGGAAUUUUGGACAAUGGGCGAAAGCCUGAUCCAGCAAUGCCGCGUGCAGGAAGAAGGCCUUCGGGUUGUAAACUGCUUUUGUACGGAGCGAAAAGGUCUCCUCUAAUACAGGGGGCUCAUGACGGUACCGUAAGAAUAAGCACCGGCUAACUACGUGCCAGCAGCCGCCGUAA